This 253-nucleotide ribosomal RNA is filed under the name uncultured bacterium. RNAcentral describes it as "partial 16S ribosomal RNA". It matches the Rfam family "Bacterial small subunit ribosomal RNA", at positions 524 to 776 of the family's 1533-position model. The record is from RNAcentral.
UACAGAGGUCUCAAGCGUUGUUCGGAUUCAUUGGGCGUAAAGGGUGCGUAGGCGGCGCGGUAAGUCGGGUGUGAAAUCUCGGGGCUUAACUCCGAAACUGCAUUCGAUACUGCCGUGCUUGAGGACUGGAGAGGAGACUGGAAUUUACGGUGUAGCGGUGAAAUGCGUAGAGAUCGGAAAGAACACCAACGGCGAAAGCACUCUGCUGGGCCGACACUGACACUGAGAGACGAAAGCUAGGGGAGCGAAUGGG